CGCUUUUACUUUUUGGAAGUUAGAGCUAUGUCGACACUGCCGUUUCAGGGCGGGGUCAUUUUCGGGACUUUCGUCCCGGAUUCAGGUUUUCGCACAUAUGCCAUGUUGAUCGCCAUGGUCAUUUUACCCUAAAACAGUUGAGAUUACCUGUCCUAAAUGAAUCGCAUACAAACUCAUAUACAGGUCCUAGACUACAUAGAGAAUAACAACAGUACAGUGUC
Molecule: non-coding RNA, 221 nt
Organism: Paramuricea clavata
Lineage: Eukaryota; Metazoa; Cnidaria; Anthozoa; Malacalcyonacea; Plexauridae
Source: the annotation of a GenBank genome assembly